RNAcentral lists this long non-coding RNA (741 nucleotides) under Homo sapiens (human). RNAcentral's name for it is "HSALNT0083902". The record is from RNAcentral. Lineage: Eukaryota; Metazoa; Chordata; Mammalia; Primates; Hominidae.
AGAAGCUGGGUUUUUCUAGUUGUCCCCUGUGAGAGUGGGGUUCAGAUGAAUGGUCUGGACAGAAACAAAUCAUACCAUCUCACCCAGGGGACCAACCAACAACCUCCCGAAGAACAGAUGAGGGACGUCCUUUGAAAAAUGAGAAAAUUGAGGCACAGAGAGCUCAAGAAGCUUGCUCCCAAUCACAGAGCUGAUAAGUAGCAGAUCCAAGAUGCAAAUCCAGGUGAUCUGCCCCCAAGGCUCACACUCCCAGCUACUGCACACAGAACCUCAGAAGCCCAUGCUUCUGGCACAGCUGUGCUGCAAUGAGUUUGUCAUCAGCUCUCAAGAUAAUCGUGGCAUCAGACACAUGGAGAUGUUAACCCUACCGCAAGAAUCCAACUCAUUAGUGAGGCCACCAAUUCCACUGAAAACCCUGGAUGCCCUUUUCCAGGAAGCAUCUGCCUGCCCUCUCAUGAAAUAACUCUCUCCUCCCUCUUUCCUUCCCUCCCUCACCAUCCCGACCCACACCCGAUUUCCCAGAUAGACUUCUUUCAAAGAACUUUCUGUGUCAUUCUGUUCAUAAUGUAAAGAAAAAUAAAUUAAAAUAGGACUACUUCUUUUGUCCCAGAGAUUAGUCUAUAAAGAUUGGCCUUUGUAACAUGAAGAAAGGACAGAGCUCAUGAAAAGUUCAAAAGAGGUGAUUCCCAUAUGAGCUAAAAUUUUUAAAAGUCAUGCAGUGGGGAGGGCCAUAUGAUGGGA